Molecule: ribosomal RNA, 253 nt
Filed under: uncultured bacterium
Lineage: Bacteria
Description: partial 16S ribosomal RNA
Rfam family: Bacterial small subunit ribosomal RNA
Source: RNAcentral
UACAGAGGUCUCAAGCGUUGUUCGGAUUCAUUGGGCGUAAAGGGUGUGUAGGUGGCGCCGUAAGUCGGGUGUGAAAUCUCGGGGCUUAACUCCGAAACUGCAUUCGAUACUGCGGUGCUUGAGGACUAGAGAGGAGACUGGAAUUCAUGGUGUAGCAGUGAAAUGCGUAGAGAUCAUGAGGAAGACCAGUGGCGAAGGCGGGUCUCUGGACAGUUCCUGACACUGAGACACGAAGGCCAGGGGAGCAAACAGG